AAGUUGAGUGGCGGACGGGUGAGUAACACGUGGGUAACCUGCCUAAAAGAAGGGGAUAACACUUGGAAACAGGUGCUAAUACCGUAUAUCUCUAAGGAUCGCAUGAUUCUUAGAUGAAAGAUGGUUCUGCUAUCGCUUUUAGAUGGACCCGCGGCGUAUUAACUAGUUGGUGGGGUAACGGCCUACCAAGGUGAUGAUACGUAGCCGAACUGAGAGGUUGAUCGGCCACAUUGGGACUGAGACACGGCCCAAACUCCUACGGGAGGCAGCAGUAGGGAAUCUUCCACAAUGGACGCAAGUCUGAUGGAGCAACGCCGCGUGAGUGAAGAAGGUCUUCGGAUCGUAAAACUCUGUUGUUAGAGAAGAACACGAGUGAGAGUAACUGUUCAUUCGAUGACGGUAUCUAACCAGCAAGUCACGGCUAACUACGUGCCAGCAGCCGCGGUAAUACGUAGGUGGCAAGCGUUGUCCGGAUUUAUUGGGCGUAAAGGGAACGCAGGCGGUCUUUUAAGUCUGAUGUGAAAGCCUUCGGCUUAACCGGAGUAGUGCAUUGGAAACUGGAAGACUUGAGUGCAGAAGAGGAGAGUGGAACUCCAUGUGUAGCGGUGAAAUGCGUAGAUAUAUGGAAGAACACCAGUGGCGAAAGCGGCUCUCUGGUCUGUAACUGACGCUGAGGUUCGAAAGCGUGGGUAGCAAACAGGAUUAGAUACCCUGGUAGUCCACGCCGUAAACGAUGAAUGCUA
RNAcentral lists this ribosomal RNA (743 nucleotides) under uncultured bacterium. RNAcentral describes it as "bacterial SSU rRNA". It matches the Rfam family "Bacterial small subunit ribosomal RNA", at positions 88 to 818 of the family's 1533-position model. The record is from RNAcentral.